Molecule: long non-coding RNA, 755 nt
Filed under: Hordeum vulgare
Lineage: Eukaryota; Viridiplantae; Streptophyta; Magnoliopsida; Poales; Poaceae
Description: long non-coding RNA (HVUL_LNC009347)
Source: RNAcentral
UCCUAUUCUGAUGCAUAGCCCUUUAAACUGUUUUUUAUGAUCGUCGCCGCAAUGUUAAUUAAAAUGCUAAGGGGAGUUGGGUAUUUGAUGUGAGUUUCUCGACAGACCUUUUCGCACUAAUCUUCACAUGGGAGAAGUUAUGGGUACUCGAUAUCGUGGUAUCAGUCUAAGUUGUUCACACGUUAGCAUUGAAGCAGUACGCGCCCGAGUGGCCCGGAUAAACAUCGUUCCAGAAUAAGAGGUGCCAAGAUUGACAUCGGCCGUUCACGCAUCAUGCAGGAGUGCAAAGGGUGAUGGGUCCAUGACCCCUGCAUGCUUAGGAUUUAGACCCGCGGGUUGGCCUCUCUAUUGAGCCUAGGUAGGGUUGCGACGUGUUGAUGUUUCGAGGUUGGGUAUGACUGAGAAAAGUGUGUUUGGUCAGAGUUUAUCAAGCGUGUUGGGUAUUGUAGUGCACCCUACAGGGAUGAAAAUUAACUAUUUGAAUAGUCGUGUCCACGGUUACAGGACGACUUGGAGUUGUGCUCCGAUCUUAUACGACCUCAACUGUUACUUAACUGGAAUAUUUUCUUCGGGAUUGCUUUCUCACUGGGAGUCGAGGAAGAAUCUUUACGCGUGACCUUAUUUAAUAUUGCUGCAACAAUAUGAUUAUAUAUUUGUGUUACUUGCUUUACUCUUGUGUAUUGCUGCAAGACGCUGAAGAUGCUAGUCUUUGAUAGGACUAGUCCUUCUCUCUCUAUUUUUGCAUUGUUGUAGUC